GGGAUGUCCUAGGGGUGGAUGUGUGUAGUGUACAGUCCAGCUGCACGCUGGGGAGAGGGUAUGUGGAAGUAGUGUUUGGGCAUCCGUGAGGGCAUUGGGGAGGGAGGUGGAAUCAGUGAUGAGUGUUUGUGUACAGCAGGAACCGUGUGUGUGAGCUGAGCACUUAGGUGCACACAUGUUGGCUGGUGGCUUUGGGUUUCCUCACAUCUGCAAGGCCUCCUUCCCCAUCUGCCUGUGGAUGACCCAGGCGACUGUAUCCCUCAUGCCCCCUUGGCCUUCUUUGCACAGUGCUGGAACUGUGAGUGCCAGGCGUGGGGCCUGCCUGGCCAUGAUGUGGCAGGUGCUCCUGUCUAUCCCCUCCCUGUCAGCCCCGUGUGUGUGUGUGUGUGUGUGUGUGUGUGUGUGUGUGUGUGGCCCGCCUACCCGCCUCUCUGGAUGCCAAGUGCUGUGUGCGUGUCACCAGGCCUGUGUCGUGCUGUGUGUGGGUGCAGGAAGGCGGGGGGUGCCUGGCAGGGCUCUGUUGGGGGUGGCGCUCGGGUAGGCGGCUGUCCGCAACAGUGCCCAGCAGCCAAUGUGGGAAGCAGUGCCUCCUGCCCUGGCGCCGCUCAGGGCCACCCUCUGGUUCCCUGUCCCUGCAGGGCGCAUGUACCAUGACGGCUGCCUUCCUGCACUUCUUCUUUCUGUCCUCAUUUUGCUGGGUACUCACUGAGGCCUGGCAGUCCUACCUGGCUGUCAUUGGGCGUGAUGCGCACCCGCCUCCUGCUCGCAAGCGCUUCCUCUGCCUGGGCUGGGGUCUGCCCGCCCUGGUGGUGGCUGUGUCUGUUGGCUUUACCCGCACCAAAGGAUAUGGUACAUCCAGCUAGUACGCGGGCCUCCCGGCAGGUGGGGGUAGGAUAAGGGAGUCUGUUAAGGGUUUGGCUUGGGCAUUAGGACUUAGAUCCUGGCUGAGAUCCUGGUCUAUACCUGUUGUAGGUCUUUGGGCAAGUUCCUCUCUAUCUCUGAGCCUCAGUUUCCCCAGCUAUAAAAAGAAGCUACUGGGAUUGGGGUAAUCUCAAAGAACACUGAACUCGGGUCAGCCUAUUUCAUUCCUAUGAUAGCCCCAGGAGCUGGACCUGAUGUUCUUGACUUUCGCUGGAGGGGAAACUGAGGCUCAGCAAAGGCCAAUGGCUCCAUCUCACCCCAUUGAGGCUGGAUCUCCAUUAGUGAUGUGGGCAUGGCAGCCCUGGGGAUCAAGGGGUGGUAUCUGAGGGCGGGAAGGGAGCCUGCUGGGUUUCUGACACCCCUUUUCUCCCCCCUACCCCAGCUGCUGGCUUUCCCUGAAGGUGGCCUGCUGUAUGCCUUUG
RNAcentral lists this long non-coding RNA (1343 nucleotides) under Heterocephalus glaber (naked mole-rat). RNAcentral describes it as "lncRNA (ENSHGLG00100048362.1)". The record is from RNAcentral. Lineage: Eukaryota; Metazoa; Chordata; Mammalia; Rodentia; Bathyergidae.